GUCUUGCUAUGUUGUCCAGCUGGCCUUGAACUCCUAGACUCAAGGAAUCCUCCUUCCUCAGUCUUCUGAGUAGAUGGGACGACAGGCUCGGGGCACAGCACUUGGCUACCAUGGGAGGGGUUUUUGUUUGUUUAUUUUGCUUUGUUUUUCCGUGGUGCUGGGGAUGGAACCCAGGGCCUCGUGCAUGCUAGACAAGUGCUCCUCAACUGAGCUCCCCCAGCCCCUCCCCUUUCUGUAAGGACACUGGUCACAAUGGAUUAGGGCCACCCUAAUGACCUUAUCUUUGCUGAGGACACGUGCAAAGACCCUAUUUCCUAUUUGGUCACAUUUUAAGGUACUGGGAGUGGGGGUAAUUUGGGGGAGAACAUGGUUCACCCUAAACAGGGCAGUUCAGAGAAGCCAAGGAUACUAUUCCCAGUGCAAGGAUGUCUGGGUUUCCUGGCGGCCUCCUGCUGUUCCUGGGGCUCCCCAGCACCCAGCCCUGAACUCUGGGGCUGGGGGUGACUUUCCAUCUCUGCUUCUCUGGACUGGGGCUCCCUGGGCGUCUCCUGCCGGGGGCCCUACGAAGGCUGAGCUUGGAGUGCUGGGUCUGGGGUGUGGGGAGGUGAGUGCUCCCUGACGUGGUGCCCUGGGCUGACCAGCACAGAAGGGACCGUGGGGACAGGAGAGCACACACAUUGGCUGCCCCCACAGGCAGGUGUCCAGGGGCCGAGGGCAUAGAGAACAAGGGGCAGUUAUGGGUUCAAAUCCUGCUGGGGUGCCUGCCGCUGGGCAGUGGCUGUGCCCCUCAUACCUCACCUUUUCUGGGUGAAACGCCAUCUGCAGGGUCCGGGCCGAUGUGCCCAGCGAGGCCGCUUGGCCAGGACCGUGUGGACACUGCUGAGGGGAGGGACCGAGGACAGGCACCUGCCUGGGGGCUGGCCCUGAGCCUUCAAGGCUGGGCCCCUCCUGCAGAGCAACAGCAGCCCCUCUGCCACGGGACCCCCAGCUUGGCCCUGGGUGGGGUGCGGGGCCGGGCGGGGUCGGGCGCGGGCGGCUCAGCUGGGCUGACAGUAAAAUUGCCUCGUGGUUUCCUCCUGCUCUGCCGGUCCUGCCAGGGCUCAAAAGUAAGUCACCCAUGGGGCUCGGGGUGGCAGGAGCCUGGGGUGUGUGGUGGCGAUGGGCACCCGCGGGGCAUGCCAACCCCCACCUCAGAGGCAGGCAGGGUGCAUGUCUGUCCCAUGGGUUGGUGUGAAGAUUC
Molecule: long non-coding RNA, 1240 nt
Filed under: Marmota monax (woodchuck)
Lineage: Eukaryota; Metazoa; Chordata; Mammalia; Rodentia; Sciuridae
Source: RNAcentral